RNAcentral lists this unclassified non-coding RNA (489 nucleotides) under Hevea brasiliensis (rubber tree). Lineage: Eukaryota; Viridiplantae; Streptophyta; Magnoliopsida; Malpighiales; Euphorbiaceae. The record is from RNAcentral.
GUAAAACAAAUUCAUUGUUAUUGAGGGAAAUGGAAAGUUAUUUGAGUGAAAAUUUUGAUGUGAAGGCGAAGCACUCGUCGGAGGAGACUUUGCAGAAAUGGAGGAAGGUGUGUGGAGUUGUGGAAUCCGAAGCGAAGGUUUCGCUUCACUGCCAAUCUCUCCAAGAGAACCGAGGCUGCUGCCAUGCGACAGACCAAUCAGGAGAAGUUAAGGAUUGCAGUUCUGGUUUCCAAAGCUGCAUUUCAAUUUAUCCAAGGUGUGUCCCCAAGUGACUAUACUGUACCUGCAGAAGUCAAGGCUGCGGGUUUUGAGAUUUGUGCUGAUGAGUUAGGAUCCAUUGUUGAAGGCCAUGAUGUGAAGAAACUAAAAGUUUCAUGGUGGGGUGAAUGGGAUUGCAGAAAAGCUCUCCACUUCAACUACUAGUGGGCUUUCUACAGAUAAUGAUCUGCUGAAUCGUAGGCAAGAGAUUUAUGGAAUCAAUAAAUUUGC